Molecule: ribosomal RNA, 2980 nt
Filed under: Xanthomonas sp. 4461
Lineage: Bacteria; Pseudomonadati; Pseudomonadota; Gammaproteobacteria; Lysobacterales; Lysobacteraceae
Description: 23S ribosomal RNA
Rfam family: Bacterial large subunit ribosomal RNA
Source: RNAcentral
GGUCAAGCGAAUAAGCGCACACGGUGGAUGCCUAGGCGGUCAGAGGCGAUGAAGGACGUGGUAGCCUGCGAAAAGUGUCGGGGAGCUGGCAACAAGCUUUGAUCCGGCAAUAUCCGAAUGGGGAAACCCACUGCUUCGGCAGUAUCCUGCAGUGAAUUCAUAGCUGCUGGAAGCGAACCCGGUGAACUGAAAUAUCUAAGUAACCGGAGGAAAAGAAAUCAACCGAGAUUCCCUAAGUAGUGACGAGCGAACGGGGAAUNNNNNNNNNNNNNNNNNNNNNNNNNNNNNNNNNNNNNNNNNNNNNNNNNNNNNNNNNNNNNNNNNNNNNNNNNNNNNNNNNNNNNNNNNNNNNNNNNUCAGCCCUUAAGCUGGAAUGGCUUUAGAAAAACAAUCUGGAAAGAUUGGCCAUAGAAGGUGAUAGCCCUGUAUUUAAAAGGGCCACUCCAGUGAAGACGAGUAGGGCGGGGCACGUGAAACCCUGUCUGAAUAUGGGGGGACCAUCCUCCAAGGCUAAAUACUCCUGACCGACCGAUAGUGAACCAGUACCGUGAGGGAAAGGCGAAAAGAACCCCGGAGAGGGGAGUGAAAUAGAUCCUGAAACCGUGUGCGUACAAGCAGUAGGAGCUCGCAAGAGUGACUGCGUACCUUUUGUAUAAUGGGUCAGCGACUUACUGUUCGUGGCAAGCUUAACCGUAUAGGGGAGGCGAAGGGAAACCGAGUCUGAUAAGGGCGCAUAGUCGCGGGCAGUAGACCCGAAACCGGGUGAUCUAGUCAUGGCCAGGGUGAAGGUGCCGUAACAGGUACUGGAGGCCCGAACCCACGUCUGUUGCAAAAGACGGGGAUGAGCUGUGAUUAGGAGUGAAAAGCUAAUCGAACCCGGAGAUAGCUGGUUCUCCUCGAAAGCUAUUUAGGUAGCGCCUCGGACGAAUACUACUGGGGGUAGAGCACUGUUAUGGCUAGGGGGUCAUCGCGACUUACCAAACCAUUGCAAACUCCGAAUACCAGUACGUACUAUCCGGGAGACACACGGCGGGUGCUAACGUCCGUCGUGAAAAGGGAAACAACCCAGACCCACAGCUAAGGUCCCAAAUUCACUGCUAAGUGGAAAACGAUGUGGAAAGGCACAGACAGCCAGGAGGUUGGCUUAGAAGCAGCCACCCUUUAAAGAAAGCGUAAUAGCUCACUGGUCGAGUCGGUCUGCGCGGAAGAUUUAACGGGGCUAAGCAGUGAACCGAAGCUUGGGGUGCAUAAAACUUGUUUUAUGCGCGGUAGAGGAGCGUUCCGUAAGCCUGCGAAGGUGGAUUGAGAAGUCUGCUGGAGGUAUCGGAAGUGCGAAUGCUGACAUGAGUAACGAUAAUGCGGGUGAAAAGCCCGCACGCCGAAAGCCCAAGGUUUCCUUGCGCAACGUUAAUCGACGCAGGGUUAGUCGGUCCCUAAGGCGAGGGCGAAAGCCGUAGUCGAUGGGAAGCAGGUUAAUAUUCCUGCACCUCGCGUGAGUGCGAUGGAGGGACGGAGAAGGUUAGGUGUACCGGGCGUUGGUUGUCCCGGGGAAAGGCGGUAGGUUUGGAUCUUUGGCAAAUCCGGGAUCCUUUAAGACCGAGCACCGAGACGAGCCUUUAUGGCGAAGUCACUGAUACCACGCUUCCAGGAAAAGCUCCUAAGCUUCAGCUCACGAAGACCGUACCGUAAACCGACACAGGUGGGUAGGAUGAGAAUUCUCAGGCGCUUGAGAGAACUCGGGUGAAGGAACUAGGCAACAUGGCACCGUAACUUCGGGAGAAGGUGCACCCUUUUUGGUGGCUCAUGCGAGCUAUAGCUGAAGAGGGUCGCAGAAACCAGGCCGCUGCGACUGUUUAUCAAAAACACAGCACUCUGCAAACACGAAAGUGGACGUAUAGGGUGUGACGCCUGCCCGGUGCUGGAAGGUUAAUUGAUGGGGUCAGCCGCAAGGCGAAGCUCUUGAUCGAAGCCCCAGUAAACGGCGGCCGUAACUAUAACGGUCCUAAGGUAGCGAAAUUCCUUGUCGGGUAAGUUCCGACCUGCACGAAUGGCGUAACGACAGCGGCGCUGUCUCCACCCGAGACUCAGUGAAAUUGAAAUCGCUGUGAAGAUGCAGCGUUCCCGUGGCAAGACGGAAAGACCCCGUGAACCUUUACUAUAGCUUUACACUGAACGUUGAGUUCGUCUGUGUAGGAUAGGUGGGAGGCUAUGAAACUGUGGCGCUAGCUGCAGUGGAGCCAUCCUUGAAAUACCACCCUGUCGUGCUUGACGUUCUAACCUAGAUCCGUUAUCCGGAUCAGGGACCGUGUAUGGUGGGUAGUUUGACUGGGGCGGUCUCCUCCUAAAGAGUAACGGAGGAGCACGAAGGUACGCUCAGCGCGGUCGGACAUCGCGCACUGUGUGCAAAGGCAUAAGCGUGCUUGACUGCAAGAUCGACGGAUCAAGCAGGUACGAAAGUAGGUCUUAGUGAUCCGGUGGUUCUGUAUGGAAGGGCCAUCGCUCAACGGAUAAAAGGUACUCCGGGGAUAACAGGCUGAUACCGCCCAAGAGUUCAUAUCGACGGCGGUGUUUGGCACCUCGAUGUCGGCUCAUCACAUCCUGGGGCUGUAGUCGGUCCCAAGGGUAUGGCUGUUCGCCAUUUAAAGUGGUACGCGAGCUGGGUUCAGAACGUCGUGAGACAGUUCGGUCCCUAUCUGCCAUGGGCGUUGGAAGUUUGAGAGGGGCUGCUCCUAGUACGAGAGGACCGGAGUGGACGAACCUCUGGUGUUCCGGUUGUCACGCCAGUGGCAUUGCCGGGUAGCUAUGUUCGGAAGCGAUAACCGCUGAAAGCAUCUAAGCGGGAAGCGCGCCUCAAGAUGAGACUUCCCGGGGCACAAGCCCCCUAAAGGAACCAUAUAGACUAUGUGGUUGAUAGGUCAGGUGUGUAAGUACAGCAAUGUAUUGAGCUAACUGAUACUAAUGAUCCGUGCGGCUUGACCAU